GGCGCGGGUGGGCGAGGCCUGUCAAAAAUAAACCCGAGCUGGAGCGAAGUUAGAGCAGUGAAAAUAGAUUUUAUUCGAUAAACCUAUUGCCACAGGGGACGAGAGGCUGCAGUAUAGAGCUGGGCUCAUUUUGAAUACAGCCAGAACAAGUGAGGUUGAUAGCCGGGGGGCAAGUUGGAUUGCAGGGUGGCGUUGUGGCAGAGAAAAUUGGGAAGAAGAGACAUCAAGUCUGGGGGGCAUUCUGGCUGAACCAACCCAGCAGGAUUCUUGCUGGAGGCAGGCCAAGGUGAUCAUAUAGCACCUGGGGGAGUGGGAUGGGGGGGUUGAUCAGAUAUCAGGGUAGAGAAUUCUUGAUAAACUGAUUUAGCAGGUUCUUGCUAAAACUGGAUUCUCCAAGGAAGUACACGGACAGGCUUGUUCAGGAGAGGGUUCAGGAGAACCUGACUAAAGUUUGGUUAAGCAAAGAAUCUUUGUCAGGGAGGAGGAGUGGGCUGCGCAGGAUCCUUUGCCCAGUGUCCUUUCUGUGAGCCGAGUUGCCUGUGUCUAGGAAAUGAGAAUAGUUGUCAUUGCUAAGGACCUGGUGUGUGCUGGUCUUCCUUGGGCCCAGCGUGCCGUAGUCUUCCUUGGGAGCCUAAGAGGAAGUAUUCUCUUGUCUUCCUCAGAGUCCAGUGUCUGGUGUUCUCUCAUCUUCCUCAAGUCCCCAGGCCCCGUGUGGUCUUGUCUUCUCAGAGCCCAGGCUCUGAUGUUUUCUCUCCCCCUUGGUGCUUAGAGGUCUCUUGUGCCCCUCGGUCCCAGGGCCUGGUACUCUGCUCUUUCUUGGAGUUUCCUAGCAGGUCUCAGCAACCCUAUGCCUCCCUUUGGGUUGUCCUAUCCACUGCCUGCUGAGCUUGUUCGAUGAGUUGUUAAUUUUUCUGGCCACUGUGGAGAGCAUCCACCUGCAGGCUGCACAUCGUUCAUCUUAUUUGCUGCAAUUAGACAGUAAGUCUGUUGAUUUUUGCACGUUAGUAUUUACUCAGAAACCAUGCAGAUAUCUUUUAUUCUAACAGUAUUUCCUUGGAUUUUUCUUGGCUAUUGUAGAUAAGACAUCAUCCUCAUUCCAUAAGUAAUUUGGCCUCUUUUCCAUUUUUUUCUUUUUUGAGGAAGAUUAGCCCUGAGCUAACAUCUGCCGCCAGUCCUUUUUGCUGAGGAAGACUGGCCCUGAGAUAACAUCAGUGCCCAUCAUCCUCUACUUUGUAUGUGGGACGCCUGCCACAGCAUGGCUUGACAAGCAGUGUGUAGGUUUGCACCCAGGAUCUGAACCAGUGAACCCCGGGCUGCCAAAGUGGAACGUGUGAACUUAACUGCUGCACCACUAGCCUGGCCCCUCCUUUCCCAUAUUUUGACUUUAAAAAAGUCGAUGUUAUAUAGCCCUAGGUACUGUGACGGAACCAUGUUAAUUAGUCAUAUUAUUGUUUUGUUUUGGAUGUGACUGAGAUGCUUCUAGUGGUUCACUGUCAAGUUUGAUGGAGGCCUUUAACAUCUUAAGGAAACAAACUGUUUAUUGGUAUAGGAUGAAAACGUGACUUUAGCUUCAAAGGUGAUUUUAAAUAAGUAUAUUAUUGGAGCUGGCCUGGUGGCAUGGUAGUUAAGUUCUCACACUCUGCUUCAGUGGCUUGGGGUUCGUGGGUUCUGAUCCUGGGCAUGGACCUGUGCACCACUCAUCAAGCCAUGCUGUGGUGACAUCCCACAAACAAAAAUAGAGGAAGGUUGGCAGCAGAUGUUAGCUCAGGGCCAAUCUUCCUCACCAAAAAUAAAUUAAAAAGUCCGUUAUUGAAGAUUGACUCACAAAAGCCACUUUAAUACAACUUUUAAUAAUAACUGCAUGUUUUUUUUCUUGUUUAGCAAAUUAAGCAUGCUAUUUAAUUUGCUGUAAUUUGAUUAUGUAAAAAACAUUUCUGAAGAAAUGUUAACUGUUAUGCACGAAACUGUGAAACAUGUUAUGCAUCCUGCUUGCAUACAGGGCCCCAAUCCCUUGUUUAAAACCUUCAAGGCCAAAAGUAUUUUGGAAUUCACAAGGAUGUGGAUUUUAGCAGCAGAGUAAGGUGCACACACCACGCAGUACGUAACGUCCCUGACAGGUCUGGGGCAGCAUCUGCCAUCAAACACUUGAGUGUAUCUGUAGCAAAAUACGUGAAGAAUCACACUAGGUUGGAGAAAGACAAGGUGUAAAUAGCGUUUUUAGUUCAGGUAAAUUUUGCUGAUACAUAAUACAGAAAGAAAGUUUUUAUUAGAAAAAGUUUUGGAAUUUAGAAUUGCAGAAAAGGCAUUGUGGAUCUUACAUGAAAAUGGCUGGAUUAGCAAUAAUAGUUGUUUCAUUCAAUUGCAAAGUUUAAUUUGUACUUUUCCUCACUUCAUAUACUCCGUAUAGACACGUUUAUUGAGAUAACUGAAUUGUUAAAAUAUAUUAACAUUCUUCUAUAUGCUUUCUUUAAUCAGUAGUCCACUAUUCGUUUAACUUAAACAAUAUAUAAGAAUAAGAGAUAUAAAACUAUGUAUUGGCCACAUCACUAUGGCAGCUGGUGACAUUUAGUUGAGCAGUAAACCAGCCAUGCGACUGAAUCGUGGACCUGCGAUUUGAUCUCCACUCACCAUUCGCUAUUCUUGUUUCAUCACACAGAGCAGCUCAAACUAUUCCCUGUGAAGGGGAACACAUGUUUAAAAGUCAUUUAAAAAAAGAAGAUGUAUUUUUUGUCUUUAAAACAUGAGCCUCUAGGACGCUUCUUAGAACUCCUCAGAGCUUGAGAACUUCAGGAUGGACAAGCAGAAAUAAAUUAAUCAGAAUUUUACCUGUAAAUUAUUAGUAUCAUAACUACUUCCCAUAAAACAGGCUUUUGGGUCUAUUUAUUACUGCUACACAUUUACUCUUUGCCUGUUCUCACCAACAUCAAAGAUGAGGUCAUCAUCAAGAUAAUCCAAACUCUUCGUAAUGCAUGGGAAAGGCAAAGAGUCUGAGCUCUGAGCAAGGGUGGACUGAAAACAGCCUCCAGAAGACAGUCUGCCUCAAAGAGGAAUGCAGGAAGUCCACAGAAGCCUGGACAAACCAGUAAAUCAGGUUUGGAAUAAUCCAGUUCGUACCUUUGUGUCCUGUAUCCCUUAGGGUGUGUUUGGUUGUAAAUACUCGAAAUCCAACUACUGUAAAUAACAGACUAUUUCCUUGCAGAACUGAAGGUUUGUAAACAGAUGGUUCCUGGUACUGGUUUAAGCUGUCCACCGGCAUCACCCAGGACUGGGCUCCUUCCUUCUUGCCAUGCUCAGUAUGGGAGUGUCUCAUCCUUUGGCCACUAGGGCACAGACAAGAGACAAGCCAGCCACAUGCUUACUGCUGGCCCUGAAUACAACCCAUCUCAACAUUUCUCUCUGCCUUAGGAAGUCACCCUUUUCCUCCCUGAUGAAAAUCGACCCCCAUCUUUCUUCUUGAGUCUUUCUCUUGUCUAUUCACUCCUCUGGUCAAUAGCCAUGGAUAGACAUACACAUCCAAAACUAAAGAACGUAUCUGCUCUCAGCAGUCUUAAUUUUAAAAUUUCUGGAUGUUCUUGUUACCACAAAUAAGAUAUGAAACAGACCUAAGUGCUGUAACUAUUGGAAAAAAAUAUACAAAAGUGCAUUUAUUAACAGAUAACAUUAGCACACAAAAAAUCCAAUUGGAAAACUUUAAAAAUCAAUGAGAUUGCGUUAAACCACAGAGAAUAAGAAUUAAAGAUACGUAAGUCAACACACACACAUACACACAAAAGUAUAAGCUUAACAAGUAUAUUGAAAAGGAGAUUCCUUUCACAGUAGAAUCAUAAAAACAUAAAAUGUUUGGGAUUAAGUUGGGAGAUGCAGGGGAUCUACAUGAAGCUAAGUUUCUGGAAAGAAUUACAAGUAAACUUGCAUAAAUGAAAAUGCUCAUCGUGUCCCAGGAUGGGAAGGCCAAUUGUAAACCCCAGGUCAUCAUCACUAGGCUCCAUUCACUUCUGCGCUUCUUCCUCCUCAAAAUGUGAGGGAAGGAACUGGCUGCCAUUCUUCACAAGAACAAUCAAGUCACAUUCAAACACAUCUUAUGGAGAAAUGCUCUCAGAAACUACUAGUCAGGGGCCGGCCCUGUGGCUGAGUGGUUGGGUUCUUGUGCUCCACUUCAGCGGCCUAGGGUUUCUCUAGUUUGGAUCCUGGGCACGGACAUGGCACUGCUCAUCAGGUAAUGCUGUGGCAUCGUCCCACAUGCCACAACCAGAGGCAUUCACAACUAGAAUAUACAACUGUGUACUGGGGGGCUUUGGGGAGAAGAAGAAGAAGAAAAAAAAAGAAGAUUGGCAACAGUUGUUAGCUCAGGUGCCAAUCUUUACAAAAAAAAAAAAGGAAACUACUCGUUAAAAAAUGUUCUCUUUUUUCUUUGCCAAUAAAUUUAGACCUCAAAGCCAUCAGUAGCAUAGAGUUGUAAUUACAGAACUUUUUAUGUGUAGUGGGGGAACUCGUAGGUCAGCAAGUUGAAUUGAGGUGUGUGGUUUGUUUCAAGCACCUUUUUUCACUCUGAGAGGACUCCUAUGUCACCCACCAUGAGGAAGGACAUGACUGACAGAGACUGUAUCCCUGUCUGCAUUUGUAGUUUGAGGAAUUCACCACAUCGGCUUGGUCCCACUGUGUGUUUUCACAUCACACCCUGGACCUCUGGAUGUCUCCAUCUCUUCUCUGCAUCCCCUUGGCUGUGCCUCAGACUGCAGCUGUGGUAACUUGGCCCUUCCUGCUGAUUGCAGUGGGUGUCUGCUCUCUCUGGGGUGCCCACCUCCCGAGGAGCGACUCUGAGUCAGGCCAGCAAGUGUCACCCUGAGCCUGCAGACCCUCGUUACCUGUGAUGCCUGCUUCUAGUAGGCCCUAAGUUGUCGCUUAGCAUUCCUAAGGAAGAGACUUGAGAGCAGAAGCUGGUUGUGAGCAAGAAAGGGUUAUCAUGUAAGACGGUCUUUUGGCCACAAGUAACAGAAUGUGUCACCAUUCAUUAUCUUACAUUGCCUGAAGUCCAGAGGCAAGGGCUUCUGGGCAUGGUUCCUGGGCUCGACUGUCACACUUAGCCAGCCACCAUCCAUCUCUUGGCUCAGCUCUCAGCAUGUUGUCCUGGUUAUUCCUAAGGCUUGUGUCCUCAUGAUCUCAAGGUGGCUGUCACAGUUCCAGGCAUUGCACAUAGCCAUGCAACACUUGUCUGAAAAUAUUGGCAUCAGGGGAUGUAUUUGUUUCCUUUGCCACUGUAACACAUUACCAAGUCUAUCAUCUCACAGCUCUGGAGGUCAGAAGUCCAUAAUGGCUCUCACUGGGCUAAAAUCAAGGUGUUGGCAGGGCUGCGUUCCUUUUAGAGGCUCUAGGGGAGAAUCCAUUUCCUUUCCUUUUCUGGCUUCUAGAGAUCACCUGCAUUCCUUGGCUCAUGGCCUCUUCUUCUGUCAUCAAAGCCAGCAGUGUAGCAUCUUCAAGUCUCUCUCUGACUCUGACCUCUGCUUCUGUCAUCCCAUUGCCUUCUCUGACUGACUGUCCUGCCCCUUCUUAAACAAGGACGAUUGUGAUGACAUUGGGUCCACCACAAAUAAUCCAGGAUAAUCUCUCCGUCUCAAGAUCCUUAAUUACACCUAUAAAGUCCCUUUUGCCCUGUAAGAUAACAUAUUCACAGGUUCAAGGCAUUAGGAUGUGAGCAUCUUUGGGGAGCUAUUACUACCCACCAUGGGGAAGGAAUAAAAUCUCUUCAGAUGCCUUCUUUCUUGUAGACUUCCUCAGAUCCCAUUGUCCAGGACUGACACCUGUGUCCAUGUCUUGGCUGUGAGAAAAGCUGGGAAAGAGAGUGGCUGGCAUUUUGGCAUCUGUAGAGGGUGCUGGACUCCUCACCAUGAAGGGGGGUGGCACAGCCACAGUGGCUGGCACAAAAGUCUGUGUGUGUGCUCAUCUGCCCCAGAGACCUCUCCUCAAAUUGAGUUAUAAGGCCAUAUGCCCAAUCUGAGAGCAGCUAGUGCUGGAAAUUUCUGGACUUGCUGCCAGCAGAGAUCCUGAACUGAAUGAAGUCUCAACAUCUAGGGGAGCAGCGAGGAGGUGGGGAUCCUGGUAGAGGGUCUGAUGGUAGUGCUGGAAAGGAAAGGUGGCAUUUCUGUGAGUAUAAGGGAACAACAGGAGAUCUCCCUUGGGUCCAGGAGGAAAGCUAGCAUUUCAGAGGCUUCUCAUAAAAGCAGAGAGAGAGGAAGGUCUUCAGGGUUCAUGUGUGGAAUCUUACCCCUCAUCUCUUUCCCAGAACACGCCAGAUGCUCUUUUGCAUCUAUGGGUGAGGUUCCCUCCCAACCCCAGCUUUGCAAGGGAUUUUAGUUGAAGUUUGUGAGGUUUGCAUCAUCCUUGGAGCGUGGACCAUCUGCAGGCUUUUUAAUCCUGUCUGCACACUGGCUGUGCACCCCUAGAAGUGUAAAGAUGCACACAAGUCUUCAUGCUACCUCUCAAGUGUUCUCUAGUGUGAGUCCUCUGGCGCUGAGUUGCGAGAACACCCCCUGAAGGCUCUUCCUCACUGAGACAGGCAGAGGACCUUUCCAGUAUGAGUUCUCUGAUGGAGUCACACAGUGCUGAGGUAUGUUUAAAGCCUUUCCCACAAUGACUGUAUCCAUAGCUGUCUCUCCAGUGUGCCUUCUGUGAUGUCGAGUAAGGAAGGAGAAAAGGAUGAAAUCUUUCCCUGAAUGAUUACAUUGUAGGGUUUCUCUUCUUUAUAGACUCUUAGAUGUAGAGUAAAGCCUUCACUCCUUGGAAGUAAUUUCCUGAAUUCACCACAAAUAUAAAGUUUCUUAUAGGUAGAAAUUCUCUCAUACUGAGUAAGGAUAAUUUGUGCGUCUGCAUGUAUAGGAUUUUUCUCCUGUACAAGUUCUGAAAUGUACUGAAAGUCAGUCUUUCUUGGUGGAGACUCUCCCACACUAACACAUUUGUAAGGUUUGUCUCCUGGGUGAAUUUGCUCAUAGUGAAAAGGAUUGACCUCUGUUCAGACUUCUCUACACUCAUUACAUUUACAUAGUCUCUCUUGAGUAUGGCUUCUCCAAUGUCACUGUACAGUGGAGGAAGGAUUGAGUUCUAAUUAACUUCCCCCAAAUUCAUCAUUCUUGCAGUCUCUGUCCUGGGUCAGUGUUUUCUCAGGGCCAUAUGUUCCACUUGUCUCUCCAGGUUCUCCUGCUGCUGCUUCAAGUGGGUUUCAUAUUCCUGGUCUCUGCCAAAUGUGGAGAGAUAUAGUCCAUGCCUUGUGAAUCUUUGUGUUUUCAGGACCGCAUAUGGUUCUAAGCGAAGUGCCCUGCUUUCUGGUUAACUCCUUGCUUUUGAUUCUACUUCCUCAACCUGGAAGAAAACAACAGAUAAUUUUAAGUGUUCAGAGAAAAACUCCUGGAGAGGAAAUAGUGAGAUCAAGUGAAGAAGCACAUCUGAAGCAUGUGGAUUUGUUUUCAAAUCUGCCUUGCAAGGAGGGGACGAGUUGUGAGCAGAGAUGAGCCCAGUCCUUUGAGGCAGCUGAUGGGACACUAGGUCAUCUCUGCUCUGGUUCACUCCUCACUCUCCUUUUCCAGAUGCUCUUCUAGACUCCAGUUCUUUGGGCACUGAUCCUGAGCUCUCUUCUUUCUCUUGCCAGUGUGAUCUCUUUCAUUCCCCGGGAUUCAAAUACUAUCUCAAUGUUGAUGAAUCCCAGUUCUGUAGCUUAUCCCAGAUUCUUUCCUGAGCAUUGGACACAUUCAUUUGUCUGCUAGGCAUCUCUACUUCUGCACCCAUAACCUGUCAAAACUGAACUUGAGUCCUACAUCCACAUCGGCUCUUACCCCACCUUUUCCCUACCGGUAGAUGGCCAGGGGCCAAGGACCCCUCUACCUCCUUGAAUCAAUCACCAAAUUUUGAGUCCACCUUAAAUACCUUCCAUUGGCCCCCUUUCUGUUUCCAUUGCCCAUCCUGCACCAUCACUGCCCUUCUCAGUUGAACUACCACAGUAGUGCUUUCACUGUCAUCUCGUCUUCUGUUCAUAGCCCUGUCCAAACACAUCCAGAGCAGCCUUUCAGAAAUAGAAACCAGAUCAUGCCAUUUCCUGCUCAAACUCAACCAGUGGUGCCCUGCUGCU
RNAcentral lists this long non-coding RNA (8116 nucleotides) under Equus caballus (horse). RNAcentral describes it as "lncRNA (ENSECAG00000049613.1)". The record is from RNAcentral. Lineage: Eukaryota; Metazoa; Chordata; Mammalia; Perissodactyla; Equidae.